AGGUGUGAUUAUACCAACACUAAUAUGUACUAGCUUCCAUUAGAUCUAUAAAGUUAAAUGUGUUUAGGCGAGAGUAGUGCUAAGAUGAGUGACCUUUUGAAAAGUUCUCGUGUUGCAUUCC
RNAcentral lists this ribosomal RNA (121 nucleotides) under Ricinus communis (castor bean). The record is from RNAcentral. Lineage: Eukaryota; Viridiplantae; Streptophyta; Magnoliopsida; Malpighiales; Euphorbiaceae.